This 495-nucleotide ribosomal RNA is filed under the name uncultured bacterium. Its description in RNAcentral is "bacterial SSU rRNA". It matches the Rfam family "Bacterial small subunit ribosomal RNA", at positions 28 to 524 of the family's 1533-position model. The record is from RNAcentral.
GACGAACGCUGGCGGCGUGCUUAAUACAUGCAAGUCGAGCGAGAACCUGUUGAGGGGUAACCCUCGGCAGGGGAAAGCGGCGAACGGGUGAGUAACACGUGGGUAACGUGCCCCAGACACUGGGAUAACAGCGGGAAACCGCUGCUAAUACCGGAUAACCCUCUUAGAGCGCAUGCUCGGAGAGGCAAAGCUCCGGCGGUCUGGGAUCGGCCCGCGACAUAUCAGCUUGUUGGGGGGUAAUGGCCUACCAAGGCAGUGACGCGUAGCUGGCGUGAGAGCGUGGCCAGCCACACUGGGACUGAGACACGGCCCAGACUCCUACGGGAGGCAGCAGUAGGGAAUCUUGCACAAUGGGCGCAAGCCUGAUGCAGCGACGCCGCGUGAGGGAUGAAGGCUUUCAGGUUGUAAACCUCUUUCAGCAGGGACGAAGCCCGUUUGGGUGACGGUACCUGCAGAAGAACGCCCGGCCAACUACGUGCCAGCCGCCGCCGUAAU